This 497-nucleotide ribosomal RNA is filed under the name uncultured bacterium. RNAcentral describes it as "partial 16S ribosomal RNA". It matches the Rfam family "Bacterial small subunit ribosomal RNA", at positions 28 to 507 of the family's 1533-position model. The record is from RNAcentral.
GAUGAACGCUGGCGGCGUGCCUAAUACAUGCCAGUCGAGCGAACAGACGAGGAGCUUGCUCCUCUGACGUUAGCGGCGGACGGGUGAGUAACACGUGGAUAACCUACCUAUAAGACUGGGAUAACUUCGGGAAAGCGGAGCUAAUACCGGAUAAUAUAUUGAACCGCAUGGUUCAAUAGUGAAAGACGGUUUUGCUGUCACUUAUAGAUGGAUCCGCGCCGCAUUAGCUAGUUGGUAAGGUAACGGCUUACCAAGGCAACGAUGCGUAGCCGACCUGAGAGGGUGAUCGGCCACACUGGAACUGAGACACGGUCCAGACUCCUACGGGAGGCAGCAGUAGGGAAUCUUCCGCAAUGGGCGAAAGCCUGACGGAGCAACGCCGCGUGAGUGAUGAAGGUCUUCGGAUCGUAAAACUCUGUUAUUAGGGAAGAACAAAUGUGUAAGUAACUAUGCACGUCUUGACGGUACCUAAUCAGAAAGCCACGGCUAACUACGUG